RNAcentral lists this ribosomal RNA (498 nucleotides) under uncultured bacterium. Its description in RNAcentral is "partial 16S ribosomal RNA". It matches the Rfam family "Bacterial small subunit ribosomal RNA", at positions 28 to 523 of the family's 1533-position model. The record is from RNAcentral.
GAUGAACGCUGGCGGCGUGCCUAAUACAUGCAAGUCGAACGCUUCUCCUCGGUGAAGAGUGGCGAACGGGUGAGUAAUACAUAAGUAACCUGGCAUCUACAGGGGGAUAACUGAUGGAAACGUCAGCUAAGACCGCAUAGGUGUAGAGAUCGCAUGAACUCUAUAUGAAAAGUGCUACGGGACUGGUAGAUGAUGGACUUAUGGCGCAUUAGCUGGUUGGUAGGGUAACGGCCUACCAAGGCGACGAUGCGUAGCCGACCUGAGAGGGUGACCGGCCACACUGGGACUGAGACACGGCCCAGACUCCUACGGGGGGCAGCAGUAGGGAAUUUUCGGCAAUGGGGGAAACCCUAACCGAGCAACGCCGCGUGAAGGAAGAAGUAAUUCGUUAUGUAAACUUCUGUCAUAGAGGAAGAACGGUGGAUAUAGGGAAUGAUAUCCAAGUGACGGUACUCUAUAAGAAAGCCACGGCUAACUACGUGCCAGCCGCCGCGGUAA